CGGGGUGUAGCGCAGAUGGUAGCGCGCGCGGUUCGGGACCGCGAGGUCGUGGGUUCAAGUCCCGCCAUCCCGACCA
This 76-nucleotide transfer RNA is filed under the name Patescibacteria group bacterium. RNAcentral's name for it is "tRNA-Pro". It matches the Rfam family "tRNA". From Rfam's summary of the family: Transfer RNA (tRNA) molecules are approximately 80 nucleotides in length. Their secondary structure includes four short double-helical elements and three loops (D, anti-codon, and T loops). RNAcentral also lists the same sequence under 1 other name. The record is from RNAcentral.